UAUUGUACGUUUGAAAAUUCUAAAGUCGUCGUGGAAAGUUAUGAACGGGACUAUUUUAAAAAGGGUUGGAAUGUGCAAGUGGUUAUAAAAAUUAGUUAUGAAUAUUAUUGCAUGGAAAUAUUGAGAAAGGUUAAGGGUAAAAAUGAAAAUUCACAAAAUGGCUUGUGGUAAUAUUGAGAAAAAUCGAGGGGCAAAAUGGGAAUUUCACAAAAGUUUAUAAAAUUUCCAUGUUGGUUGUGUGGCAUAAGUAUAUGCCCACAUUGCUUUGGGGGCUAAAGUGUACCAAGGAAAACAUUUGGUCUUCUUUGACCAAAUAAAGCAAUUCAAAAAAAAAAAAAAAAAAAAAAAAAGAUGAAGAGAAUGGAAAGGUGAGGGUUCGGCCCUAGACAUGGAAAAUUGGCUCUAUGAAAUCUUGCCCCAAAAAUUAUUUUCUUGUGGUAUUCCUACUAAUUCAAGGGCCCUCUACAACGUGGUGUAAUUGUUUCGGAAGAUAGGCCAUCCGUUUCAUUGUUUUCCGCACUUUGGUUGAGUAAAGAAGUUGGGAGGCAAAGACAAACAAGUUGGAUGCACAAGCGUAACUAGUUGGUCGCGGCACAGGUACUCCCAGACGAGAUAAGGACACUAUAAAAGAUAUUUCAGCAGUGGUGGCGAACUCCAUUUGCUCUUGGAGGACUGCCAAGUCAGGGUAUGGCAUAUGUGCUAUGGUUUCUGUAUGGUGUUAGAGACUUUGCAGACAGCGUCGUGGGUAUGGUGUGUCAGUCUGUAAGCGGCUCCAUCCGCCGAUAUGUUGGUCUGUGUUAUGUAUUGAACUUUGUACGACUAUAGAUUUGUUUGCUUGGAAGCUUCG
Molecule: long non-coding RNA, 847 nt
Organism: Lycium barbarum (goji berry)
Lineage: Eukaryota; Viridiplantae; Streptophyta; Magnoliopsida; Solanales; Solanaceae
Exons: 3
Source: RefSeq, a predicted model, not a curated record